RNAcentral lists this unclassified non-coding RNA (269 nucleotides) under Rickettsia parkeri. Lineage: Bacteria; Pseudomonadati; Pseudomonadota; Alphaproteobacteria; Rickettsiales; Rickettsiaceae. The record is from RNAcentral.
CUGUGAGAUUACAUAUGCAUAUAGUGUUAAUGCUAUAAGAGUGUAGUAUCUACUCACAAGUUAUCAGGUUAAAUAGUUUUAUCAACUAAUAAAAAUGUUAUUGCAUAACUAAUUUUAUACUGUAGCCCUGCCACGAUAUCCAGCGAAAAUGAUUUUGCUGAGUAUCGUAUAAAAGUUAAGAUAUGAUGUUGAGAAUUUUUUUGAGUCGUGCAACAACAUUAACAGCAAACUAUAAUACAAAUCUAUCUUUUUAAAAGUUUGUAUUGCUA